UGGCUCAGUGGUUAAGAGCACUGGUUGUUCUUGCAGAGGACCUGGGUUCAAUUCCCAG
This 58-nucleotide transfer RNA is filed under the name Mesocricetus auratus (golden hamster). The record is from Rfam by way of RNAcentral. Lineage: Eukaryota; Metazoa; Chordata; Mammalia; Rodentia; Cricetidae. RNAcentral also lists the same sequence under 1 other name.